Molecule: long non-coding RNA, 1513 nt
Filed under: Macaca mulatta (Rhesus monkey)
Lineage: Eukaryota; Metazoa; Chordata; Mammalia; Primates; Cercopithecidae
Description: lncRNA (ENSMMUG00000007939.4)
Source: RNAcentral
AUUGUUGGACCCCACUCCAGAUCUUCUGAAUUCAAAACUCUGGGAGUGGAAACCAGCAUUGUGUAGUUCAACAAGCCCUCCAGGUGAUUCUGACACAUGCUAAAGGUUGAGAACCUUGAGAACCACUGGCUAGAAAACUCUGAUAUGAUGUUUGUUAAUGGCUCAUAUCUUGAGAAUAAGCAAAGCAUAUUUUGUGCUGGAUAUGCCAUAAGUUCUGACAAUUCUGCUAUUAUAGCUGUUCCUUUAUCAAUAGCUCACUCCAUUCAAAUAGCUGAAUGACAGUUACAUCACCAGCAUGUAACCUUGUUAAACACUUGAGUGCACAUCUAUACAAAUAGAUGUAUCUUUGGAGUUGCUCAUGAUUUUUUAGUACAUUAUGAAAACAAACAGGUUUUCUAAUCUCUUCAGGUACCCCAACUAAAAUGAAAAAAUAGUAAUUUAUUAGAAGCACUAUAACAUCCAAAUGAAGUAUGGAUUAGAAAGAGAGAAACUCAUUCUGAAGGUAACACUUUUAAAGCAAAAGAGAAUUUCUUUUUUUUUUUUUUUUUUUUUUUUUCAGGCUUCAUUCACUUUAUUUUUCUUGUAUAAAAACCCUAUGUUGUAGCCACAGCUGGAGCCUGGGUCCGCUGCACGGAGACUCUGGUGUGGGUCUUGACAAGGUGGUCAGUGAAUUCCUGAUAGGGAGACUUGGUAAACACAGUCUCCUUCCAGCGGUCAGGGGUCAGGUAGCUGUAGGUCUUAGAGAUGGCAUCGAAGGUGGCCUUGGCGAAGUUGCCCAGGGUGGCAGUGCAGCCCCGGGCUGAGGUGUAGCAGUCAUCAAUACCAGCCAUCAUGAGCAGCUUCUUGGGCACAGGCGCUGAGACGAUGCCAGUGCCCCUGGGUGCAGGGAUGAGGCGCACGAGCACAGAGCCGCAGCGGCCUGUCACCUUGCAAGGGACGGUGUGGGGCUUGCCGAUCUUGUUCCCCCAGUAGCCUCUGCGCACCGGGACAAUGGAGAGUUUGGCCAGGAUGAUGGCCCCACGGAUGGCAGUGGCCACCUCCUUGGAGCACUUAACACCCAGGCCUACGUGGCCAUUGUAGUCCCCGAUAGCAACAAACGCCUUAAACCUGGUGCGCUGGCCAGCACAGGUCUGCUUCUGCACCGGCAUAAUCUUCAAAACCUCGUCUUUGAGAGAAGCCCCCAAGAAAAAGUCAAUGAUCUCAGAUUCCUCCUUAUCCUCGGCCUUGCCUCAGCAAGCUCCGCGGCCUCGGCCCCGGCCCCGUCCACGGCCGCGACCCCGGCCCCGGAUGCCACUGCCGAAACCUCCGCGGAAGCCACCGCGGUUCCCCAUCCCAGGGCCACCAGGGCCUCCGGGCCCCCCCGCUGCACCGGCGUCAUCCGCCAUUUGGUGUUCUCUCGGAAAAGAAGGCAAAAGAGAAUUUCUGACUACUAUGUAAAACAAGUAGUCCUUUCUGUUCUUGCUACAGUAGAUAUUCUAAAGACACUUACUCAAUCUGACUUAAUGAAUUCUGA